GGGGGCGCACUGGUUUCGACGGGGAUGCGGAAUCAGGAGUAGCGAGUCGUUGUCGCCAAACAACGUAAAAAGUGGCACAAACAAUAAACGACAAUAAUAAUUACGCAUUUGCAGCUUAGUUAAAGCUGUCCGUCUUUCUUAAGUAUCCUGCGGCUUUAGAAAAGACGUCAACCUAGCAGGGCACCGCGCUUAGCAAAGCUUUGAGCUAAGAACGGAAUCUAUGAAGCUACUAAAGCUCAUAUCCUGUCAGUAGGAGAUGAGUGGAGGGAAUGUUAAAUUACUGACUGCACUCGGAGAAGCUCUUGUGGAAGUGUUUUCGGACGUGGGUUCGAUUCCCACCGCCUCCACCA
Molecule: transfer-messenger RNA, 350 nt
Filed under: Tissierellaceae bacterium
Lineage: Bacteria; Bacillati; Bacillota; Tissierellia; Tissierellales; Tissierellaceae
Rfam family: transfer-messenger RNA
About the family: Bacterial tmRNA, also known as 10Sa RNA or SsrA, is named for its dual tRNA and mRNA-like properties. Its role is to liberate the mRNA from a stalled ribosome.
Source: RNAcentral